CAGCGAGCAGGGGACGGGGGUUGGUUUGGGUUGGGUUGGUUCGAGGCGGGAAACAGGAAAGAAGGAACAAGAAACAAGAAACACCUGGUGGUCCUUUGGUCUCUCCCGCCCCAGAAUUAUUGCCCACAGGCGCCGGAAAGGAAGAAGGGGUAGCCAGCCAGCUAGCCAGCUAGCUGGCUAGGUAGCUGCUCGUCCAUGGAGGAAGAGGAUCCCAAAAAAGGGAAGUGGGAGGGGAAAAAUAUUCAGGGCUUGAGGACGAGGGAGAGGCCCACCUUGGAGCUCUUGUCGAUGGCCUUGGUGUCGACCUCGCCGGAGAUGGUGACGAGGGACU
Molecule: long non-coding RNA, 331 nt
Filed under: Spirodela polyrhiza (greater duckweed)
Lineage: Eukaryota; Viridiplantae; Streptophyta; Magnoliopsida; Alismatales; Araceae
Description: long non-coding RNA (SPOL_LNC000766)
Source: RNAcentral